This 469-nucleotide ribosomal RNA is filed under the name uncultured bacterium. RNAcentral's name for it is "partial 16S ribosomal RNA". It matches the Rfam family "Bacterial small subunit ribosomal RNA", at positions 28 to 507 of the family's 1533-position model. The record is from RNAcentral.
GACGAACGCUGGCGGCGUGCUUAACACAUGCAAGUCGAACGGAAAGGCCCUGCUUGCAGGGUGCUCGAGUGGCGAACGGGUGAGUAACACGUGGGUGAUCUGCCCCUUACUUUGGGAUAAGCCUGGGAAACUGGGUCUAAUACUGGAUAGGACCAUGCUGUAGGUGGUGUGGUGGAAAGAUUAGUUUCGGUAAGGGAUGAACUCGCGGCCUAUCAGCUUGUUGGUGGGGUAAUGGCCUACCAAGGCGUCGACGGGUAGCCGGCCUGAGAGGGUGGACGGCCACAUUGGGACUGAGAUACGGCCCAGACUCCUACGGGAGGCAGCAGUGGGGAAUAUUGCACAAUGGGCGCAAGCCUGAUGCAGCGACGCCGCGUGGGGGAUGACGGCCUUCGGGUUGUAAACUCCUUUCAGCCAUGACGAAGCCCUUGUGGUGACGGUAGUGGUAGAAGAAGCACCGGCUAACUACGUG